GUUCUUGUUCUAUGUCUGCAAUCAAGCGAUCCUGGGAAGAGGAUCUUGGAAUCUGUGUUGCUGAAGCUGACUGGGGCAAUGUUUUAAGUAAUAUUCACUCGUCCUCCAUGUGUGCAAGACAUUGGCUUCUGCAGUUUAAAAUAGUGCACAGGUUCAUCUUAGCAAAUCAAAACUGGCAAAGAUGUAUCCCCAGAUUGACCCAACGUGCGAAAGAUGUAAAUUGGCAGAGGCGACCUUGAUCCAUAUGUUUUGGUCCUGUCCCAAAAUACAAACUUUCUGGACGGAUGUCUGUGGGGCUUUGUCAUGCAUAUUUGGAAUGAGAGUGUCACUCAAUCCACUUUUAUUUUUAUUUGGGGUCAACUCCGAUGGUCUGGCACUACCAGCAGGUGGUCAAAGAAUUAUUGUCUUCUCUACACUAUUGGCAAGACGUCUAAUACUUUUGAAGUGGAAGGACGCAGCCCCGCCCACAGUUUCUCAUUGGGUUAAGGAUGUAUUAUUUCAUCUUAAAUGAGAGAAAAUUAGGUUCGUUUAGAGAGGCUCUGUAAAUAAAUUUAACAAAGUCUGGAAACCCUUUUUGAUAUUUUUUGACCAACCUGUGUUUUGACCAACACAGGUUCAGGAAUGACCUUUAUUUAUUUAUUUAUUUAUUUAUUUAUCUAUUUUUAAUUAUAUUUGUUUGCUUAUUUUUUCUUUCUUCUUAUUCUGUAUACCUUGGCUGGUGUUAUUUUGCAUUGUAUGUUUUUCCUUUUAAACUUUUGAUUACUUGACAGCGAACAGGGGUGUUGUUUGUUAGGGUGGGUUUUUAUUUUUAUUUUUUCCCCUCUUUUACUUUUAUUUGAUGCUUUGUAUUUUUGUAUUUCAUUGUGGAAAAUAAUAAAUAUAUUAAACACUAAAAGCAUAACAGAACUAAACUGAAACAUAGUCUUUAGCAGAAUGCUUGAUUGGAUACUGUAUGAACUGAUGCUCUAACUGUAGCUGUUCAGUGACUCGGGUUCAAUAAGACAUUACACUGUAAAAUCUUUGGGCAGUACUGUAUGUGUUAUGCCUGAAGAUUAGUGAUGUGCCAUACCACUGAUCUCCUUUCUGAUCCGAUACCGAGUAAAAUUCAGGGUGGUAUCGAUGACAUUGAUCCGAUACCGAUACUUUGUGCAAAAACUUAAUGUGUUAUUGUAUUUCAGAUUAUAGCUUCGUAAUGAUUGCAGGACAUCAGACUGCUUGUUCUUAUUGUUUAAUUAUGAAGAAUUAUCAUAUAGAAAUAAAGAACCUGAAGCUGUGUGUCGAUGCUAUUUGAACACACAUAUGUUGUCAUUUAACAUGUAGAUACUUACCUGGACGCUUCACCAAAAACCUUCAACAUUCACACUUUCCCUCGUUCACAGCAGUGCUGUGCAGUGUUGGUCAAGUUACUUGAAAAAAGUAAUCAGUAACUAAUUACUGAUUACUUCCCCAAAAAAGUAAUCCAGUUACUUUACUGAUUACUUAUUUUCAAAGGUAAUUAAUUACUUAGUUACUUAGUUACUUUUUAAAAACAUGAUUUACAACCUGAAGAGGUGAUAAAGCGAUAGAUCUCUCAGCCCAAUUCUACUUUUUCUGCAUAAUCCAUCAUACAAAAUGUAAUCAAAUGGAAAAGUCUCUUUUUAAAACUUGUUUUAUUAGUUUUAAUCUUUUAACUUUAUGCAUCAAGCAAACAUUUAAUUAUCU
Molecule: long non-coding RNA, 1701 nt
Organism: Astatotilapia calliptera (eastern happy)
Lineage: Eukaryota; Metazoa; Chordata; Actinopteri; Cichliformes; Cichlidae
Source: Ensembl